RNAcentral lists this transfer-messenger RNA (344 nucleotides) under Veillonella montpellierensis. Its description in RNAcentral is "Standard tmRNA". It matches the Rfam family "transfer-messenger RNA". From Rfam's summary of the family: Bacterial tmRNA, also known as 10Sa RNA or SsrA, is named for its dual tRNA and mRNA-like properties. Its role is to liberate the mRNA from a stalled ribosome. The record is from RNAcentral. RNAcentral also lists the same sequence under 1 other name. Lineage: Bacteria; Bacillati; Bacillota; Negativicutes; Veillonellales; Veillonellaceae.
GGGGAUGUAAAGGUUUCGACAGGGGCGAGUGUGGUAUAAAUAGCGAGUCGGCGUUCCAUUAGGCCGAUAAACGGUGGAAAACAUUUAAACGCAGAAGAAAAUUUUGCAUUAGCUGCAUAAGCUACGUUCUUCUAUCUCUGGCCCGUAGGGAUAGAAAGAACGUCAAACAACGGGCUAGCUUAAUUUAAAGACUCAUAUAAAUUAAGUAAAAUUACAUGAGUUAGAAAUAGUCUAGUUUGUUAAUGUACAAAAACUAUUUUGAAAUCAUAAAACAUUAACUGCACUCGGAGAAGUUUAUAUGGCAACGCUUUUGGACACGGGUUCGACUCCCGUCAUCUCCACCA